AUAGGAUCUUCUCCUUCAUGGGAGAUGAUUGAAAGAUGGUUUCGGCUAUCACUUACAGAUGGGCCCGCGGUGCAUUAGCUAGUUGGUGAGGUAACGGCUCACCAAGGCAACGAUGCAUAGCCGACCUGAGAGGGUGAUCGGCCACACUGGGACUGAGACACGGCCCAGACUCCUACGGGAGGCAGCAGUAGGGAAUCUUCCGCAAUGGACGAAAGUCUGACGGAGCAACGCCGCGUGAGUGAUGAAGGCUUUCGGGUCGUAAAACUCUGUUGUUAGGGAAGAACAAGUACGAGAGUAACUGCUCGUACCUUGACGGUACCUAACCAGAAAGCCACGGCUAACUACGUGCCAGCAGCCGCGGUAAUACGUAGGUGGCAAGCGUUAUCCGGAAUUAUUGGGCGUAAAGCGCGCGCAGGCGGUUUCUUAAGUCUGAUGUGAAAGCCCACGGCUCAACCGUGGAGGGUCAUUGGAAACUGGGGAACUUGAGUGCAGAAGAGAAAAGCGGAAUUCCACGUGUAGCGGUGAAAUGCGUAGAGAUGUGGAGGAACACCAGUGGCGAAGGCGGCUUUUUGGUCUGUAACUGACGCUGAGGCGCGAAAGCGUGGGGAGCAAACAGGAUUAGA
Molecule: ribosomal RNA, 623 nt
Filed under: Bacillus sp. (in: firmicutes)
Lineage: Bacteria; Bacillati; Bacillota; Bacilli; Caryophanales; Bacillaceae
Description: bacterial SSU rRNA
Rfam family: Bacterial small subunit ribosomal RNA
Source: RNAcentral